Molecule: ribosomal RNA, 102 nt
Filed under: Microcebus murinus (gray mouse lemur)
Lineage: Eukaryota; Metazoa; Chordata; Mammalia; Primates; Cheirogaleidae
Source: RNAcentral
GCCACAUCACCCUGAAUGCGCCCGAUCUCGUCUGAUCUCAGAGGCUAAGCAGGGUCGGGCCUGGUUAGUACUUGGAUGGGACACCACACAUGGAACUGGUAC